This 69-nucleotide transfer RNA is filed under the name Desmodema polystictum (polka-dot ribbonfish). RNAcentral's name for it is "tRNA-Gly". Lineage: Eukaryota; Metazoa; Chordata; Actinopteri; Lampriformes; Trachipteridae. The record is from RNAcentral.
AUCCUUCUAGUAUAAAUAAUAUAAGUGACUUCCAAUCACACGCUCCCAGUUUAAACCUAGGGAAGGAUA